Non-coding RNA from Salvia hispanica, 365 nucleotides. Lineage: Eukaryota; Viridiplantae; Streptophyta; Magnoliopsida; Lamiales; Lamiaceae. The record is from RefSeq and is a predicted model, not a curated record.
GAACCAGCAUUUGCAUAUGCCAAGAUCUCUUCUAGAAGCUAGCUUUCCCUUUCCAUUUCUCAAACCAUUGUGCCCUGAUCCCUCUUCCCUUGCUUGUUCAGGUUGCCAAGUGUGUCAAAAUCAGGUUGCCCGAGCUAGUUCUUCUGGCUGUUGUCAGAUUUCUUAAGGAGCAUCGACAUGACGCUCUAUGGAGGAUGAACGGGGCCGCAAACUCAUACAACUUGCAGAUUGGAGAAGUGCAAGCGGAUUUAGAUUAGCUUAACAUAAGUGUAGAUGGAUCCGGGUAAACAAAUUGUAAUGUUGUAGGAGGAAUAGUAUAACAAAACAAUUGUAAAACUAUUUUAUUUAAUUUAAUGUUAUUUGAA